RNAcentral lists this unclassified non-coding RNA (544 nucleotides) under Hevea brasiliensis (rubber tree). The record is from RNAcentral. Lineage: Eukaryota; Viridiplantae; Streptophyta; Magnoliopsida; Malpighiales; Euphorbiaceae.
UUGGGACGCACUGGUGCGUACGCUGUAUAUGUAAAAUCUACUUUUUGAAAGAUAUUUUGGAAAUGGAAUGGAACAAAAUCUAAAUCUGCGUACCUGUAUUCUAUCAGAGAUGCUUUAAUUCAUCCCGUUGCUUACUCAACUCUUCUGAUUCUUCUUUUCUUAGCUUUAUCCAGCAUUUUCCAGGUUCAUAUUUGGAAUUGCAAACCAGGGAGUUUUUAUUGAUGGGGGCUAUUUUGAGUUUGGCAAGUAACAAGAGUACCACCAGCCAGUUUCAUGAGGUCUUAUGUGAUGCCAGCUGCAAGAGGCAAAAGAGAUCCUUGAGCUUUGAUGAGAAGCGCCCAAGACUGAUUCCAAGUCUUCCAGAUGAGUUGUCAAUCCAGAUUCUUGCUAGAAUUCCCAGGACUUACUACUUCAAUCUAAGGUUGGUGUCACAAAAGUGGAAGGAAACUAUUAUGAGCCAUGAGCUGUUUAAAUUGAGAAAAGAACUUGGAUUGAAAGAAGAGUGGUUGUAUGUAUUGACUAAAGUUGAAGAGGAACUUUCAUG